GCAGUCGUGGCCGAGUGGUUAAGGCGAUGGACUUGAAAUGCAUUGGGUCUCCCAGCGCAGGUUCGAAUCCUGUCGGCUGCG
This 81-nucleotide transfer RNA is filed under the name Trichonephila clavata. It matches the Rfam family "tRNA". From Rfam's summary of the family: Transfer RNA (tRNA) molecules are approximately 80 nucleotides in length. Their secondary structure includes four short double-helical elements and three loops (D, anti-codon, and T loops). Further hydrogen bonds mediate the characteristic L-shaped molecular structure. tRNAs have two regions of fundamental functional importance: the anti-codon, which is responsible for specific mRNA codon recognition, and the 3' end, to which the tRNAs corresponding amino acid is attached (by aminoacyl-tRNA synthetases). tRNAs cope with the degeneracy of the genetic code in two manners: having more than one tRNA (with a specific anti-codon) for a particular amino acid; and 'wobble' base-pairing, i.e. permitting non-standard base-pairing at the 3rd anti-codon position. The record is from Rfam by way of RNAcentral. Lineage: Eukaryota; Metazoa; Arthropoda; Arachnida; Araneae; Nephilidae.